GUGAGGAAUAUUGGGCAAUGGGCGAAAGCCUGACCCAGCAACGCCGCGUGAGGGAUGAAGGCCUUCGGGUCGUAAACCUCUUUUCUGGGAGAAGAGACAAGGACGGUAUCCCAGGAAUAAGUCUCGGCUAACUACGUGCCAGCAGCCGCGGUAAUACGUAGGAGGCUAGCGUUAUCCGGAUUCACUGGGCGUAAAGCGCACGCAGGCGGUCAUGUAAGUCAGACGUGAAAGCUCCUGGCUCAACUGGGAGAGGUCGUUUGAUACUGCAUGGCUUGAGGUUGGGAGAGGGAAGCGGAAUUCCCGGUGUAGUGGUGGAAUGCGUAGAUAUCGGGAGGAACACCAGUGGCGAAAGCGGCUUCCUGGCCCAUACCUGACGCUCAGGUGCGAAAGCGUGGGGAGCGAACGGGAUUAGAAACCCGGGUAGUCC
Molecule: ribosomal RNA, 427 nt
Filed under: uncultured bacterium
Lineage: Bacteria
Description: bacterial SSU rRNA
Rfam family: Bacterial small subunit ribosomal RNA
Source: RNAcentral